CAAGCAGAUUGGGCAGUUGCAUAGCUUACGCUAUGAGGAAAGUCUGAGCCUCACAGAGCAGGAUAACGGCUAACGGCCGUCGAGGGAUAACCUUAGGGACAGUGCAACAGAGAGAUACCGCUGAUUUAUCAGUAAGGGUGGAAAGGCGAGGUAAGAGCUCACCCGCAACUCGGAAACGAACUUGCGAUGUAAACCCUAUCUGAGGCAACACCGACUGAAUAGGCUUGCUCGGCUUAUUAUUUCGACGGGUGGCUAAAGGUUCGGGGCAACCUGUGCCGUAGAUAGAUAAUUGCCUUCAAUGACAGAACUCGGCUUACAGAUCUGCUUGUAAC
Molecule: RNase P RNA, 332 nt
Filed under: Candidatus Copronaster equi
Lineage: Bacteria; Bacillati; Bacillota; Clostridia; Eubacteriales; Acutalibacteraceae
Description: RNase P RNA component class A
Rfam family: Bacterial RNase P class A
About the family: Ribonuclease P (RNase P) is a ubiquitous endoribonuclease, found in archaea, bacteria and eukarya as well as chloroplasts and mitochondria. Its best characterised activity is the generation of mature 5'-ends of tRNAs by cleaving the 5'-leader elements of precursor-tRNAs.
Source: RNAcentral